CUAAAAACACAGCCCUAUUUUUAACCUCAACAAUUCACUUAAGCCAAAAUAUUUUGUCAAUUAAGUAAAGAAGAUUAAAAAAUUAAUUAGAGCAACACACAUGUACCGCAAGGGAACACUGAAAUAAUAAUGAAAUAACAAUUAAGUUCAAAAAAGUAGAGCUCGGUCCUC
This 171-nucleotide ribosomal RNA is filed under the name Eleutherodactylus klinikowskii (Klinikowski's robber frog). Its description in RNAcentral is "partial 16S ribosomal RNA". Lineage: Eukaryota; Metazoa; Chordata; Amphibia; Anura; Eleutherodactylidae. The record is from RNAcentral.